UGCAUGGUUGAGGAAAGCGUUGUUGAAAGAUGGUUUGGAUAAUGAAUGUGUGAGGUCCCUUUAAGUUCAAGGGUACUUUUUUGUCUGUAGUUGUACCAGCUGUUGAGGAAGGAAGGGGAUCAGCUAAACAUCGCGCUGAAGGAGAAUGAUUUCUUUGCUGGGCCUACAGUGCCACCUACAGCACCAAGCUUGCAGCUGAAAAUAAGUUUUAGGUGGGCCAUAUAUGGAUGUAUUUGUCAUCGUGAAUGGCAACAGGCUAAAGAGCUGACAGCCCUUGCUGUCUUGCUCUAAGGAUUUACACAAGGUGAUGCAAAGCCCUAGAAAUUCCAUCUCUCCCUGCUGCUGCUGCCUGAGAGCUGUGCUCAUAAUGCCAGGCACAAUCAAUUUAUCCAAAAAUAAGCCAGAUGUGGUUAUCAAGAAUAGAAAUCCAUGUUGUAAAUUCGUCUGUUAAAGAACAGAAUCAAGAUUCUUAUCUUCCAGAUGAAGAAUCUGGAAGGAUAAAGCCAUCUUUCUCAAAGAACAUAAAAUCACUGGAAGAAUUUUCUGUCGCUUCUUCUGAAGAAAGUUUUGAAAUCACAGGACUGGAUUUUCAGCUAA
Numida meleagris (helmeted guineafowl) is the source of this 597-nucleotide long non-coding RNA. RefSeq lists it as uncharacterized. The transcript has 5 exons. Lineage: Eukaryota; Metazoa; Chordata; Aves; Galliformes; Numididae. The record is from RefSeq and is a predicted model, not a curated record.